This 253-nucleotide ribosomal RNA is filed under the name uncultured bacterium. Its description in RNAcentral is "partial 16S ribosomal RNA". It matches the Rfam family "Bacterial small subunit ribosomal RNA", at positions 524 to 776 of the family's 1533-position model. The record is from RNAcentral.
AACGUAGGUGGCGAGCGUUAUCCGGAUUCAUUGGGCGUAAAGAGCUUGUAGGCGGCCACAUAAGUUGGACGUGAAAACUCCGGGCUUAACUUGGAGAGGCCGUUCAAUACUGUGAGGCUGGAGGGUGUCAGAGGGAAGUAGAAUUCCUGGUGUAGCAGUGAAAUGCGUAGAUAUCAGGAGGAAUACCCGUGGCGAAGGCGGCUUCCUGGGGCACCACUGACGCUGAGAAGCGAAAGCUAGGGGAGCAAACGGG